Bombyx mori (domestic silkworm) is the source of this 1200-nucleotide long non-coding RNA. RefSeq lists it as uncharacterized. The record is from RefSeq and is a predicted model, not a curated record. The transcript has 3 exons. NCBI's taxonomy places the organism in Eukaryota, Metazoa, Arthropoda, Insecta, Lepidoptera, Bombycidae.
CGGCCGUUUUCAAUAACGUAUCUGAGUUUUCGGAUAGAUAGCUAUCUCCGAAUAUCAGCAAGAGCGUAUCUGUCCUUAGUUUGCGUUUCACAAUCACGGAUAAGUGCUAUCUCUCUUUAACCAACAGUAGAUAGCUUCUUCCCUCCGAUUUAUCCGAGCCUCUUGAUACGUUUCGUUCUACUACAAAUACGAAACAACAUCAGGAUCAAGACUUAUUUUAUUUUAUUCUAAAUUAUAACUAUAAUUUAACCAGCAUAUUGUAGACUAUCAUAAACACAUUUGUUUAUAACAAAAAGUAAUAAAAACAUAUGUAGAUUUUUUUAAAUUGGACGUAUUGCUAUUUUUAUCCUAGUCGAAAUUAUGAAACGAAACGUUUUGACAGUCCGUUUGCCAAUAAGCAGUGAUCAGUUUCUUUUGUUUGUUUUUCUAUUGUUUACCUACUAUAUUAGAUGAUGACUUACCUCCAAAACGCUUUAAAACUUUCGUUUAUAAUUCUAAGUGUGUUUAUAAUUAAAGAGCUACAGUGAAAUAAAAUGAAUUCUUCAAGAAAGGCAGCACCCAUGACAAAAGAUGAGACGAUGAUUCUAGCAGAACUUGUGGCGGCGAAAAAACAUUUCAAUAAUAAGGCAACAAAUGCCACAAACAAUAAAUUGAAGGAGCAGGCUUGGCAAACCCUUGUAAAUGAUUUUAAUUCGUCGAUUCGUCGUUUCCCACGAACUCCAUCGCAGCUUCGACUAAAAUAGGAAAACUUAAAGAACGCUACGGCAACAUAAGAAACAACCUUAGUAAGGCUGGAGGUGGUAAGGAUUGCAGAUGAAAUUUUGGAUAAAGCAUGCACAUUGUUGUAGGUCACAUAUAAUAUUUUUAACACUUUUACAGCCAAGCGGAAACAAGAUGGAAGAAAAGAAAUGCAAGGCUAGCAUAGGGACAAUGCAUUAGCAGAAUAUCUAAUAGCAAAAAAGAGACUUGACUUGGAAAAUAAAGAAAAGGAGAUUGUUGUAGCAAAAGUUAAGUUAGAUUUAGAUAAUUUAAAAAAUUAAAAAUUACUUAAAAGGAAUAUUAAAUUUCCUAAAUUAAGUAGGCAAUAAUAAUUUUAUUUUAGAUAGUUUUUAAGUAUAUGUACAAAUUCUAAAUUAAAUAUCUUGCAUGUACUAACUACCAUGUAAUUAUCAUUUUGGAAAAUAAAAAAUAGUCAAAUUA